This 1781-nucleotide ribosomal RNA is filed under the name Glossina pallidipes. RNAcentral describes it as "eukaryotic LSU rRNA". The stretch from base 677 to 1781 matches the Rfam family "Eukaryotic large subunit ribosomal RNA". The record is from RNAcentral. Lineage: Eukaryota; Metazoa; Arthropoda; Insecta; Diptera; Glossinidae.
UUACCACAACUUCGUUGUCUACGCCGUUAUCAAAGAUGAAAGAGUAGGCAUCUUUGGCCUACACGAGCCCAUCCCAGGCAUAAUCCUGCAAAGAAUGAAUAAAUUGCGAGAGAGCGACCAACUAUUUGGUACGUUGUUGCAAGCCGCCAAUCAAAUAUUGGCGAGAAUAGAAAAAUUCACCUCGACAAUAAGAGGCAAAUCCGCCAACCGAGAGUACCAUACGGCAACGUUGAACACAUCUUUUUCGGGAUGCAACGGAUUAAGGCAGGUGGCGAGCAACAAGUGCCGCCAAUGGCUGUACGAUCCACCGCCAUUUUGGUCGGGAGAAAAGCUGCCCAAUCACGCUUUAAUCUUCUGCCAUGCAAAGGGAUACCAUCAAAUCCGGUUGCAGAAAGUCGCUGCCGAGGAGAACGUUGCGGGAGGCAAGAAGCAGUCUGACAUAUACACGCCUGCAAUAUUACCCACGUAGAUCGGACCAACCGGCAACAUUUCCAUUACGCUAAGAUUAACCAUUACAGCUCUGAAGCGUUCAUAGGGAAAUUGAGACAGCUCUACCUAGGGAAAGCAAUAAAUGUGCUGCCCUACAUAACGGGAGCAAGAGGAGCUUGGUGCAGGCAAACCAACAGACUGGCCAAUCUCCUAUAUAUUACGCAGGCGAAGAUAAGAACAAUUGUUGCUUGCGCGCUAAAGGGUGGAAUAAUCGCGCAAUCGCACUUCACGAAGCAUGUGUGGAAGUGGCAGAAUUAUUAACCUGAUUAAUAAUCUGAUUAAUAAUUUAAAAUUGGGUCGGUAGUAUCCCAUUAUUGUUCAGCUAUUUACUGUACAUUUAUUAUAUAAUAUUGUUAUGUUACUUUAUAUUGUAGAAUAGUAAACACAUUGUACUAUAAUUUUUUGUAUAAUUAAGUAGUUGAACGAUAAAGAUGAUUUUAAUAGCCAAAUGCCUCGUCAUCUAAUUAGUGACUUGCGUGAAUGGAUUAACGAGAUUCUUUCUGUCCCUAUUUACUAUCUAGCAAAACCACACCCAAGGGAACGGGUUUGAGAAAAUUAGCACGGAAAGAAGACCCUGUUGAGUUUGACUCUAAUCUGGCAGUGUAAGGAGACAUAAGAGGUGUAGAAUAAGUGGGAGAUAUUGUUCUUUCGAGUUCAUUAUCGCCAAUGAAACACUACUCUUAUUGUUUCUCUAUUUACUUGAUUAAGUGGAACGUGUAUCACUAGCCAUUAUACGGAUGUAUUUAUAUAUCUUAUGGUAAUGGGUUCUGAUGCACUAAAGAGUUUGUUAUAUAAUUUUAAAUAAAUUUUAAUAAGAUUGUUUGGCAUUUCGGUGCUUAUUCAAUAAAAAUUUAGAAUUUGCCAGGUAGGAAGUUUGACUGGGGCGAUACAUCUCUCAAAUAAUAACGGAGGUGUCCCAAGUCCAGCCCAGUUCGUACAGAAACCACCAAUAGAGCAAAAGGGAAAAAGCUGACUUGAUCUCGGUAUUCAGUACACACAGGGACAGCAAAAGCGCGGCUCAUCGAUCCUUUUGGUUUAAGGAGUUUUUAAUGAGAGGUGUCAGAAAAGUUACCAUAGGGAUGCCCGGCUUGUGGCGGCCAAGCGUUCAUAGCGUCGUCGCUUUUUGAUCCUUUGAUGUCGGCUCUUCCGUCGUGAGACAGAUUAGUUUUACCCUGCUAAUGACAAUAUGUUGUUGCGACAGCAUUCCUGCGUAGUACGAGAGGAACCAAUGGCACAAUACUUAUUCGAGCGAACAGUGAUAUGACGCUACGUCCGUUGGAUUAUGCCUGAAC